ACAGGUGCUGCAUGGCUGUCGUCAGCUCGUGCCGUGAGGUGUUAGGUUAAGUCCUGCAACGAGCGCUAACCCUCGUCGCUAGUUGUUUUCUCUAGCGAUACUGCCCGUAUAACGUGGAGGAAGGUGGGGAUGACGUCAAGUCAGCAUGGCCCUUACAUCCUGGGCUACACACACGCUACAAUGGGUGAUACAACAGGUUGCAAUAGAGUAAUCUGGAGCCAAUCCCUAAAAUCAUCCUCAGUACGGAUUGCAGGCUGCAACUGCCUGCAUGAAGUUGGAGUUGCUAGUAAACGCAGGUCAGCACACUGCGUUGAAUACGUUCUCGGGCCUU
Molecule: ribosomal RNA, 331 nt
Filed under: uncultured Chloroflexota bacterium
Lineage: Bacteria; Bacillati; Chloroflexota
Description: bacterial SSU rRNA
Rfam family: Bacterial small subunit ribosomal RNA
Source: RNAcentral